Molecule: ribosomal RNA, 496 nt
Filed under: uncultured bacterium
Lineage: Bacteria
Description: partial 16S ribosomal RNA
Rfam family: Bacterial small subunit ribosomal RNA
Source: RNAcentral
GAUGAACGCUGGCGGCGUGCCUAAUACAUGCAAGUAGAACGCUGAAGGGGGAGCUUGCUCUUUCCGGAUGAGUUGCGAACGGGUGAGUAACGCGUAGGUAACCUGCCUGGUAGCGGGGGAUAACUAUUGGAAACGAUAGCUAAUACCGCAUAACAGUAGAUAUUGCAUGAUAUUUGCUUGAAAGGGGCAAUUGCUCCACUACCAGAUGGACCUGCGUUGUAUUAGCUAGUUGGUGAGGUAACGGCUCACCAAGGCGACGAUACAUAGCCGACCUGAGAGGGUGAUCGGCCACACUGGGACUGAGACACGGCCCAGACUCCUACGGGAGGCAGCAGUAGGGAAUCUUCGGCAAUGGACGGAAGUCUGACCGAGCAACGCCGCGUGAGUGAAGAAGGGUGUCGGAUCGUAAAGCUCUGUUGUAAGAGAAGAACGAGUGUGAGAGUGGAAAGUUCACACUGUGACGGUAUCUUACCAGAAAGGGACGGCUAACUACGUG